RNAcentral lists this long non-coding RNA (1106 nucleotides) under Malus domestica (apple). RNAcentral describes it as "long non-coding RNA (MDOM_LNC010959)". The record is from RNAcentral. Lineage: Eukaryota; Viridiplantae; Streptophyta; Magnoliopsida; Rosales; Rosaceae.
ACAUUGUGUUACGGGAGGCAUCUUCUAAUUUCUCAUGGUAAGAUUCUGUCAGAUCUGCAUAUUAACCAACAAAAUAAUUAGUAUAUUAUGUUUGCAGAAAUAAUAAUAUGUUUAUAUGUUAUAUUUGCAAAAUUAGUAAUAUCUUAUAUCUAUAAAUACAAAAGAAAUACCACAAGACAAAAGUUCAUAGUUUACUAGUAGGGCAAAAUUCUUGAAACUUACUAUUCUUCUCCUGAUCCACAGCCAUAGCACUAUCACUCGUCGUAAGUGAAUUACCAGCGACCACUCGAAACAUUUGGGGAUGUGAACUUGUAAAGUCUCAUCCCAAAACAAGGCAGCCCACCUUGCAGGCUAGAUCAGGUUCUGCAUCAGUUGCUAUCAUAAGGAUCAUAUGGGCUAGAAGAGCUGCUGCCUCCACCGUAUGAUGCUUCUUAGAUUUUUUUUUAAAACUGUCACCAUUCAAUUGAAAAUUUAAUAUAUACAUAUAUAUAUAUAUACACACACACACAAUUAUUUUUAAGUAAAACAAAUAGAAAUUUGGAGUUUUCAGUUACCUCUGAUGCUAUGGAUUUGUACAUAAACUCCCAUAUCUCUUUAGAUCUAGCCAUUGUAAUAUAUAUGUUUGUACUUAAUUCAUAGAACUUCUUGUAAUCAAGGCUAGUCACUUCUCCGUGUUUGGUCAGCUUUGAAUCAACUCCAACACAAAUAAAAUCUUCCCACCAAUAAGCAAUAUUAAUAGUUCCAUCGAAAAACAUGCACCACAAACAGGAAAUGAGAGAUUUAAGAGCAACUCCACCCAUGGAGCCUUUCCCCCUGGCAAUCCACUAAUGAAUCCACCCUUUUGAACAGUAACUGCCUUUAAUGAAUAGUAACUGCCAUUAAUGAACAGUAACUGCCAUUAAUGAACAGUAAUUGCCAUUUGCAUCUCCACCCUUGGAGCCCUCCCCCCUGGCAAUAGGCAAUAAAAUAUUAGUUUUUUUUGUUUGUUUAAAUAAUACAAAAUAAAAUUAUUUGUAAUUUCGGAUAAGAUUUUUUAAAUUGUUCUCGUUGCGCCACGUGUCUUUUUAUAAAAAAAAAACAAUUAUUUAGCGAUGGAUUUCGAUAAG